This 740-nucleotide ribosomal RNA is filed under the name Lactococcus sp. MYb182. RNAcentral's name for it is "bacterial SSU rRNA". It matches the Rfam family "Bacterial small subunit ribosomal RNA", at positions 39 to 763 of the family's 1533-position model. Lineage: Bacteria; Bacillati; Bacillota; Bacilli; Lactobacillales; Streptococcaceae. The record is from RNAcentral.
GCGCGUGCCUAUACAUGCAGUCGAGCGAUGAUUAAAGAUAGCUUGCUAUUUUUAUGAAGAGCGGCGAACGGGUGAGUAACGCGUGGGAAAUCUGCCGAGUAGCGGGGGACAACGUUUGGAAACGAACGCUAAUACCGCAUAACAAUGAGAAUCGCAUGAUUCUUAUUUAAAAGAAGCAAUUGCUUCACUACUUGAUGAUCCCGCGUUGUAUUAGCUAGUUGGUAGUGUAAAGGACUACCAAGGCGAUGAUACAUAGCCGACCUGAGAGGGUGAUCGGCCACACUGGGACUGAGACACGGCCCAGACUCCUACGGGAGGCAGCAGUAGGGAAUCUUCGGCAAUGGGGGCAACCCUGACCGAGCAACGCCGCGUGAGUGAAGAAGGUUUUCGGAUCGUAAAACUCUGUUGUUAGAGAAGAACGUUAAGUAGAGUGGAAAAUUACUUAAGUGACGGUAUCUAACCAGAAAGGGACGGCUAACUACGUGCCAGCAGCCGCGGUAAUACGUAGGUCCCAAGCGUUGUCCGGAUUUAUUGGGCGUAAAGCGAGCGCAGGUGGUUUCUUAAGUCUGAUGUAAAAGGCAGUGGCUCAACCAUUGUGUGCAUUGGAAACUGGGAGACUUGAGUGCAGGAGAGGAGAGUGGAAUUCCAUGUGUAGCGGUGAAAUGCGUAGAUAUAUGGAGGAACACCGGAAGCGAAAGCGGCUCUCUGGCCUGUAACUGACACUGAGGCUCGAAAGCGUG